Molecule: small nucleolar RNA, 74 nt
Filed under: Notamacropus eugenii (tammar wallaby)
Lineage: Eukaryota; Metazoa; Chordata; Mammalia; Diprotodontia; Macropodidae
Description: Small nucleolar RNA SNORD19 (ENSMEUG00000017927.1)
Source: RNAcentral
GAGGAAUGGGAAGAAACCUGAACAGUCUGCUAUCUCUGAAGCCAAAGGAAGAUCCAACUCUUUUUAGAAUUUUA